UCUGGUGUAACAUCAGUUUUUCCUUAUUUUACAUCACAACCAAACUUGAAAUAUAAUUUAGAAAGAAGGGAAUUAGUAAAGCUGCAAGGAUUGUAUAUGCCUCAUGAUCAUCUCCAUUUUUGGGAUUCAACUUGUAUAUAUUUGCAGCACUGAACCAAUAAUUAGAACGCCAGAUCGAAAGAAGCAAUAUCAAGAACUUCGAUCCUGAUCACGAGUGUUUUCAGCAAUGGAAGAAGAAGCCACGGGAACAUCCAGUACUGUAUGUUUGGAAAAUGCAGGAGGUGAACGUGCAACAACACUCCCAGCUAUGUUCAUCCCAUUCAAUUUGCAAGUCCCGGAGCCUCUUUUCGGUAUAUAAGUGCAUGGAUUGGGCCUGGACGGAGUCACUGGCCCUUUUGGGAGGAAAUGAAACAACAACCCCUCCUGCUUUAGCCAUUGGAUUCCUAAUGGCCUCAUUGCACCGAGCUGCAGAGAAGCUGAAAGAAUCGACAGCAUGAAUAAGGUGGCGAACGCAUUUUUCCUGUGACAUAAACCCAUCUCUUAGAAAAAGAACAGAAUGUUGUUCUUAGUUUUUUUUUUUUUCCUUUCCCCUCGAUUGAUCACCUAAUGCUAUUCAAGCAGAAGACCGUUCAGAGGGAAAUUUGGUUACUACUAAUUUUUCUGAGAUGGAGGGAGAUAUUA
Molecule: long non-coding RNA, 681 nt
Filed under: Populus trichocarpa (black cottonwood)
Lineage: Eukaryota; Viridiplantae; Streptophyta; Magnoliopsida; Malpighiales; Salicaceae
Description: long non-coding RNA (PTRI_LNC000547)
Source: RNAcentral